GAUGAACGCUGGCGGCGUGCCUAAUACAUGCAAGUCGAGCGAACAGACGAGGAGCUUGCUCCUCUGACGUUAGCGGCGGACGGGUGAGUAACACGUGGAUAACCUACCUAUAAGACUGGGAUAACUUCGGGAAACCGGAGCUAAUACCGGAUAAUAUAUUUAACCGCAUGGUUCAAUAGUGAAAGACGGUUUUGCUGUCACUUAUAGAUGGAUCCGCGCCGCAUUAGCUAGUUGGUAAGGUAACGGCUUACCAAGGCAACGAUGCGUAGCCGACCUGAGAGGGUGAUCGGCCAAACUGGAACUGAGACACGGUCCAGACGCCUACGGGAGGCAGCAGUAGGGAAUCUUACGCAAUGGGCGAAAGCCUGACGGAGAAACGCCGCGUGAGUGAUGAAGGUCUUCGGAUCGUAAAACUCUGUUAUUAGGGAAGAACAAAUGUGUAAGUAACUAGGCACGUCUUGACGGUACCUAAUCAGAAAGCCACGGCUAACUAAGUG
Molecule: ribosomal RNA, 497 nt
Filed under: uncultured bacterium
Lineage: Bacteria
Description: partial 16S ribosomal RNA
Rfam family: Bacterial small subunit ribosomal RNA
Source: RNAcentral